Bufo gargarizans (Asiatic toad) is the source of this 413-nucleotide non-coding RNA. Lineage: Eukaryota; Metazoa; Chordata; Amphibia; Anura; Bufonidae. The record is from the annotation of a RefSeq genome assembly.
AUGUCCAGGAGACGCGCAGAAGGAUUAUUGGAAAAAUAAUUGAAUAGACUGAGAUCAUGGCGAUGGCACUGUAUUUAUUAUAUGGCAUUAUGGUUUGCAUAUCAGGUCUUGCUGCAGUUGAUGUUUUACAUCAGAAAGAGUCAGAAAUUCAACAAGUGGGAAACUCCAUUCAGUUACAAUGUGAUGUCAGUGGUUAUGAUAUAAACAAUCACCAUUUGCACUGGUUACGAGAAACUCCAACAGAAGGCCUUGUGUGGAUUUCAGCAUUUAGGACAGGAUACAGCACUUACAUUGCAGACAGUUUCAAGGGAAGAGUCACACCAUCCACAAGAGGAUCCACGGGUUUGUUGAGGAUUGACAACUUACAAUACCCAGACAGUGGCACAUAUUACUGUGCAAGGCAAUCACUGUGA